CCUCUUAAUGAGCUAAUACAACGCCUCACCUCAAUACCGUUGCAUUAUGUGUUGCUAAUGCAACGACCACUACCAAACCGUGACAUUAGUCAAUCUAAUACGACGACAUCUUCUUUACCGUUGCAUUAGCCCUUCAAAUAUUCAUGGGCAAUUAAAUUUGACAAGGCUAAUGCAGCGACCGUUGAAAAUACCUACAGUCAAAUUUAUUGGCCGCGCCGAAUUCACACUCUUUUCCCCUAAAUACUUCGUAUAAUUUUAAACCGCAAUUGAACGUAGAAGAGAGAGAAAAUGUAGAGGAGUAAGGAACCCUAUUUCCCCUUUCUUACCUCCCGCAACCUUGUUCCGCUGUCCCGCAACCUUCUUCUGCCGUUGAGGGACUCGCCUGUAUAAUUCGAUCUGGUCGUCGCUCCGACAACAAUUGCAAGUAAAUGUUGCUCCAAUUUCAACUGGUAUUUCAUUGAAAAGACCUUAAAAGGACAAUUCAACUGUAGAGACCUGUACUGAAUGGAAUUCUACACCUUCAUCCCCUGAUCUAAUUGGUGUUUUAUCAUCAGCGAUUAAACUUCCCUUUAGCACACUCCAUCCAUAAUCGCAGGUUGUAUUGUCCAUAAUCCAUAUUAUUUAUCAUGUUUUAGCUAGUGUACCAUUUUUAACUUGUGCCCAUUCGUGAUUUAAACUUGCAGGAGCAUGGUGAGCUAAAUGGAGAAGAAAUGUAGAUCUAGCAAAUGGAACGGUGGAGGCUCUUGUUUGUUUUGGGGGCAUUUUAUGAUUUCCAGUAAUGUUGAAUUAGGAGGCUAUGGAUUUUAGUUUUAUGUAUUUUUGUCAUUAAAAACACUAAAUAAUUAGUGAACAACUAUUUUGUAAUGCAUGUGUCCUAUGGGCACUAAUAUUGUAAUAUUACUUUUUAAGUCAAUGAAAUUCUUUUGUUAUUGGCAUCA
This is a long non-coding RNA of Spinacia oleracea (spinach), 938 nucleotides long. RefSeq lists it as uncharacterized. The transcript has 2 exons. Lineage: Eukaryota; Viridiplantae; Streptophyta; Magnoliopsida; Caryophyllales; Amaranthaceae. The record is from RefSeq and is a predicted model, not a curated record.